GAUAAACGCUGGCGGCGUGCCUAAUACAUGCAAGUCGAACGAGGAAGAUCAAGCUUGCUUGAUUGACCGAGUGGCGAACGGGUGAGUAAUACAUAAGCAACCUGCCUGUAAGGACCGGGAUAACACUUGGAAACGAGCGCUAAUACCGGAUAGGUAAUAUGAGGGCAUCCUCGUAUUAUUAAAGGUUCAAAACACAAACAGAUGGGCUUAUGGUGCAUUAGCCAGUUGGCGGGGUAACGGCCCACCAAAGCGAUGAUGCAUAGCCGGCCUGAGAGGGUGAACGGCCACAUUGGGACUGAGACACGGCCCAGACUCC
Molecule: ribosomal RNA, 316 nt
Filed under: uncultured Bulleidia sp.
Lineage: Bacteria; Bacillati; Bacillota; Erysipelotrichia; Erysipelotrichales; Erysipelotrichaceae
Description: bacterial SSU rRNA
Rfam family: Bacterial small subunit ribosomal RNA
Source: RNAcentral